GGGGAAUUAGCUCAGUGGUAGAGCACUGCGCUGGCAGCGCAGGGGUCAGGGGUUCAAGUCCCCUAUUCUCCA
Transfer RNA from Tumebacillus algifaecis, 72 nucleotides. It matches the Rfam family "tRNA". From Rfam's summary of the family: Transfer RNA (tRNA) molecules are approximately 80 nucleotides in length. Their secondary structure includes four short double-helical elements and three loops (D, anti-codon, and T loops). Lineage: Bacteria; Bacillati; Bacillota; Bacilli; Caryophanales; Alicyclobacillaceae. The record is from Rfam.